GAUGAAGAAGCAGCGAAAUGCGAUAAGUAAUGUGAAUUGCAGAAUUCAGUGAAUCAUCGAGUCUUUGAACGCACAUUGCGCCCCCUGGUAUUCCGGGGGGCAUGCCUGUCCGAGCGUCAUUGCCGCCCUCAAGCACGGCUUGUGUGUUGGGCCCCCGCCCCCCGGCUUCGGGGGGCGGGCCCGAAAGGCAGCGGCGGCACCGCGUCCGGUCCUCGAGCGUAUGGGGCUUCGUCACCCGCUCUGUAGGCCCGGCCGGCGCCCGCCGGCGACCCCAAUCAAUCUUUCCAGGUUGACCUCGGAUCAGGUAGGGAUACCCGCUGAACUUAAGCAUAUCAAUAAGCGGAGGA
RNAcentral lists this unclassified non-coding RNA (347 nucleotides) under soil metagenome. RNAcentral's name for it is "partial contains 5.8S ribosomal RNA, internal transcribed spacer 2, and large subunit ribosomal RNA". The stretch from base 1 to 119 matches the Rfam family "5.8S ribosomal RNA", at positions 35 to 154 of the family's 154-position model. The record is from RNAcentral.